RNAcentral lists this ribosomal RNA (800 nucleotides) under uncultured bacterium. RNAcentral describes it as "bacterial SSU rRNA". It matches the Rfam family "Bacterial small subunit ribosomal RNA", at positions 8 to 809 of the family's 1533-position model. The record is from RNAcentral.
AGAGUUUGAUCAUGGCUCAGGAUAAACGCUGGCGGCGUGCUUAACACAUGCAAGUCGAACGAAGCAUUUUGGAAGAAGUCUUCGGACGGAUUUUGGGAUGACUGAGUGGCGGACGGGUGAGUAACGCGUGGGCAACCUACCCUGUACAGGGGGAUAACAGCUGGAAACGGCUGCUAAUACCGCAUAAGCGCACGGGACCGCAUGGUCGGGUGUGAAAAACUCCGGUGGUACAGGAUGGGCCCGCGUCUGAUUAGGCAGUUGGCGGGGUGACGGCCCACCAAACCGACGAUCAGUAGCCGACCUGAGAGGGUGACCGGCCACAUUGGGACUGAGACACGGCCCAAACUCCUACGGGAGGCAGCAGUGGGGAAUAUUGCACAAUGGGCGCAAGCCUGAUGCAGCGACGCCGCGUGAGCGAAGAAGUAUUUCGGUAUGUAAAGCUCUAUCAGCAGGGAAGAAACGACGGUACCUGCACAAGAAGCUCCGGCUAAAUACGUGCCAGCAGCCGCGGUAAUACGUAUGGAGCAAGCGUUAUCCGGAAUUACUGGGUGUAAAGGGAGCGUAGACGGCAUGGCAAGUCUGGUGUGAAAGACCGGGGCUCAACUCCGGGCCUGCAUUGGAAACUGUCAAGCUUGAAUGCCGGAGAGGUAAGCGGAAUUCCUAGUGUAGCGGUGAAAUGCGUAGAUAUUAGGAGGAACACCAGUGGCGAAGGCGGCUUACUGGACGGUAACUGACGUUGAGGCUCGAAGGCGUGGGGAGCAAACAGGAUUAGAUACCCUGGUAGUCCACGCAGUAAACGA